RNAcentral lists this ribosomal RNA (738 nucleotides) under uncultured Bacilli bacterium. RNAcentral describes it as "bacterial SSU rRNA". It matches the Rfam family "Bacterial small subunit ribosomal RNA", at positions 46 to 755 of the family's 1533-position model. Lineage: Bacteria; Bacillati; Bacillota; Bacilli. The record is from RNAcentral.
GCCUAAUACAUGCAAGUCGAACGCUUCUUUCCUCCCGAGUGCUUGCACUCAAUUGGAAAGAGGAGUGGCGGACGGGUGAGUAACACGUGGGUAACCUACCCAUCAGAGGGGGAUAACACUUGGAAACAGGUGCUAAUACCGCAUAACAGUUUAUGCCGCAUGGCAUAAGAGUGAAAGGCGCUUUCGGGUGUCGCUGAUGGAUGGACCCGCGGUGCAUUAGCUAGUUGGUGAGGUAACGGCUCACCAAGGCCACGAUGCAUAGCCGACCUGAGAGGGUGAUCGGCCACACUGGGACUGAGACACGGCCCAGACUCCUACGGGAGGCAGCAGUAGGGAAUCUUCGGCAAUGGACGAAAGUCUGACCGAGCAACGCCGCGUGAGUGAAGAAGGUUUUCGGAUCGUAAAACUCUGUUGUUAGAGAAGAACAAGGACGUUAGUAACUGAACGUCCCCUGACGGUAUCUAACCAGAAAGCCACGGCUAACUACGUGCCAGCAGCCGCGGUAAUACGUAGGUGGCAAGCGUUGUCCGGAUUUAUUGGGCGUAAAGCGAGCGCAGGCGGUUUCUUAAGUCUGAUGUGAAAGCCCCCGGCUCAACCGGGGAGGGUCAUUGGAAACUGGGAGACUUGAGUGCAGAAGAGGAGAGUGGAAUUCCAUGUGUAGCGGUGAAAUGCGUAGAUAUAUGGAGGAACACCAGUGGCGAAGGCGGCUCUCUGGUCUGUAACUGACGCUGAGGCUCG